GAUGAACGCUAGCGGCAGGCCUAAUACAUGCAAGUCGAACGGUUGUAGUGAUACAAUAGUGGCGCACGGGUGCGUAACACGUAUGCAACCUACCUUAUAGACGGGGAUAGCCUUUGGAAACGGAGAUUAAUACCCGAUAGUAACCUUGAUUGGCAUCAAUUAAUGUUUAAAGAUUUAUCGCUAUAAGCUGGGCAUGCGUCCAAUUAGUUAGUUGGUUAGGUAAUGGCUGACCAAGACGAUGAUUGGUAGGGGAACUGAGAGGUUAAUCCCCCACACUGGCACUGAGAUACGGGCCAGACUCCUACGGGAGGCAGCAGUAGGGAAUAUUGGGCAAUGGAGGCAACUCUGACCCAGCCAUGCCGCGUGCAGGAUGAAGGCGUUAUGCGUUGUAAACUGCUUUUAUAUAGGAAGAAAUAGACCUUGCGAGGUAAGUUGACGGUACUAUAUGAAUAAGCACCGGCUAACUCCGUGCCAGCAGCCGCGGUAAUACGGAGGGUGCAAGCGUUGUCCGGAUUUAUUGGGUUUAAAGGGUGCGUAGGCGGUUUAUUAAGUCAGUGGUGAAAGACGGUCGCUCAACGAUUGCAGUGCCAUUGAUACUGGUAGACUUGAGUGAGAUUGAGGUAGCUGGAAUGGAUAGUGUAGCGGUGAAAUGCAUAGAUAUUAUCCAGAACACCAAUUGCGUAGGCAAGUUACUAAGUCUCAACUGACGCUGAGGCACGAAAGUGUGGUAUCAAACAGGAUUAGAUACCCUGGUAGUCCACACUGUAAACGAUGAUACUAACUGUUGCUUUCGGGUCAGUGNACAGAAGAAUCGNUAAGUUAUCCACCUUGGGGAGUACGCGGCAACGGUGAAACUCAANGGAUUGACGGGGUCCGCACAGCGGUGGAGCAUGUG
Molecule: ribosomal RNA, 895 nt
Filed under: uncultured bacterium
Lineage: Bacteria
Description: bacterial SSU rRNA
Rfam family: Bacterial small subunit ribosomal RNA
Source: RNAcentral